CCUGACUGCUAUCGGAUUGAUACUAAGCCAUGCGAGUCAUUGUAGUAAUACAAGGCAGACGGCUCAGUAACGCGUAGUCAACCUACCCUAUGGACGGGAAUAACCUCGGGAAACUGAGUAUAAUGCCCGAUAGAACACUAUACCUGGAAUGGUUUGUGUUCCAAAUGAAUGUCGCCGUAGGAUGGGACUGCGGCCUAUCAGUUUGUUGGUGAGGUAAUGGCCCACCAAGACUAUUACAGGUACGGGCUCUGAGAGGAGUAGCCCGGAGAUGGGUACUGAGACACGGACCCAGGCCCUAUGGGGCGCAGCAGGCGAGAAAACUUUGCAAUGUGCGAAAGCACGACAAGGUUAAUCCGAGUGGUUUGUGCUAAACGAACCUUUUGACAGUCCUAGAAACACUGUUGAAUAAGGGGUGGGCAAGUUCUGGUGUCAGCCGCCGCGGUAAAACCAGCACCUCAAGUGGUCAGGAUGAUUAUUGGGCCUAAAGCAUCCGUAGCCGGCUCUGUAAGUUUUCGGUUAAAUCUGUACGCUCAACGUACAGGCUGCCGGGAAUACUGCAGAGCUAGGGAGUGGGAGAGGUAGACGGUACUCGGUAGGAAGGGGUAAAAUCCUUUGAUCUAUUGUUGACCACCUGUGGCGAAGGCGGUCUACCAGAACACGUCCGACGGUGAGGGAUGAAAGCUGGGGGAGCAAACCGGAUUAGAUACCCGGGUAGUCCCAGCUGUAACUAUGCAAACUCAGUGAUGCAU
This 749-nucleotide ribosomal RNA is filed under the name uncultured bacterium. Its description in RNAcentral is "bacterial SSU rRNA". It matches the Rfam family "Archaeal small subunit ribosomal RNA", at positions 21 to 779 of the family's 1478-position model. The record is from RNAcentral.